RNAcentral lists this non-coding RNA (223 nucleotides) under Gossypium hirsutum (cotton). Its description in RNAcentral is "Bacterial large subunit ribosomal RNA". It matches the Rfam family "Bacterial large subunit ribosomal RNA", at positions 629 to 852 of the family's 2925-position model. Lineage: Eukaryota; Viridiplantae; Streptophyta; Magnoliopsida; Malvales; Malvaceae. The record is from Rfam by way of RNAcentral.
CAUAGACAGUGGCUUGGUUAAGGGAACCCACUGAAACCGUAAUGAAUACGAGUCUUCAUAGGGAAAUAUUCAUUGCUUAUGGACCCAAACUUGGGUAAUCUAUCUAUGACCAGGAUGAAUCUUGAGUGAAACUAAGUGGAGGUUUAAACCAAUUGAUGUUGAAGAAUCAACUGGAUGAGUUGCGGCUAGGGUUGAAAUGCUACUCGAACGCAAAAUUAGUUGG